UUUCGCAAUGCCCGAAAGGGUGACGAAGCGACGCCGCGUGAGUGAGGAAGGCCUUCGGGUUGUAAAGCUCUGUCAGGAGUUAAGAAAUAUAAGUGUGCUAAUACCACAUUUAUUUGACAAAAGCUCCAAAGGAAGCCACGGCUAACUCUGUGCCAGCAGCCGCGGUAAUACAGAGGUGGCGAGCGUUGUUCGGAAUUAUUGGGCGUAAAGAGCACGUAGGUGGGUUUGUAAGUCAGAUGUGAAAGCCUUCUGUUCAACGGUAGAAUUGCAUCUGAAACUGCGAGUCUUGAGUGUAGGAGGGGAGAAUGGAACUUCUGGUGGAGCGGUGAAAUGCGUAGAUAUCAGAAGGAACGCCGGCGGCGAAAGCGAUUCUCUGGCCUAUUACUGACACUCAGUGUGCGAAAGCUAGGGGAGCAAACGGGAUUAGAUACCCCGGUAGUCCUAGCUGUAAACGAUGGGCACUAAGUAGAGGGGUUUUA
Molecule: ribosomal RNA, 479 nt
Filed under: uncultured anaerobic ammonium-oxidizing bacterium
Lineage: Bacteria
Description: bacterial SSU rRNA
Rfam family: Bacterial small subunit ribosomal RNA
Source: RNAcentral